AAGACUAACCAGGAUUUAGCAUGCUCCUGCAGGAAGCCUAUGAAAUGAUCCCCCCAAAAUCUUAGGGUGCUGUUUCCCCUGUUUCCUGAUAUUUUUCUUCUUGUUCCUUAUGACGUGCUGAUUCCAAGAAUUCAUGCAAUCACACUUCACUAUCUUCCAUUGGCUUGAGAGUCAGCUUCAGGUAAGGCCAAAGCUUCUUUAGAGACAGAAGAGAAUAUGGGGUCCAAUUCCAGUGAGGCUGGCACAGUUCCAAUUCCAUUUCAGUUCAACAAGACUGAACUGGAGCCCUGUGAUAGAAAGAAAUUGUUUUAUUUACCUAACACUCUUGUUGGCUUCUAGCAAAUUCACCUCCUACCAUUUUUGGGGUAAUUCCUCCUCCCUGACUUCAGCAGUGCAGUUCUAGUCAUGACUGCAAUCAUCACACUUCAAUCUGAUCACUUCAGAAGUAGGGAUGUGACUCAAACCAUGCCAAGGAGUUUUCUCCCCCACCCCAGGGAGACUUUUGAAGACUGGAGGUCUUUGGCAGUGGUGAUGGUUGGGCACCACCAUCUCAGUUGACCAAACUGGAAAAUACACUAAAGAGCCUCAGCAGCCAUGGUUCCUCUGUGUGGAAUGAGUCCAUAAGCCUUUGGUGCAAGAAAAGAAGAGCUUAUAAGUACAGAGGAGGAAAAAAAAAGAAAAAGAAAGCUGAAAGUUCUUGUUAGCUACAACCUUGGCCUUUCCUAAUCACGUAAACCGCUAAAUGAUGGCUAAAGUAGUUUGAAUUUAGUUUCUAUUACUUACAAUUAAAACUGCCCUGAUGAUGACAACUCUCCCUUAACAUGUACUUGGUCCUAUGGCCGGUGUUGAGGAAACAAAGAUGCAUAUGAUUCUGUAUCUGUUCUCAAGGAACUGAGAACCUUUUAUGUAUGGUUUUUGAUAACCUUCUGCUUGUUUUUCUUCACAAAAUCCAUGGUGCUGGUUUGAUUUGUUCAGCUUUGCAAAUUAAUAACCUCUUUAUGGAUGAUGUUACAUUAGCUUUUUCGGUUAAGGAAAUGGCCACUAGAUCUCUCUGUUGUAAAGGUAGCUUUUCCCUUUCAGAAUUAGUGAA
Molecule: long non-coding RNA, 1090 nt
Filed under: Homo sapiens (human)
Lineage: Eukaryota; Metazoa; Chordata; Mammalia; Primates; Hominidae
Description: HSALNT0141252
Source: RNAcentral